Molecule: ribosomal RNA, 2777 nt
Rfam family: Bacterial large subunit ribosomal RNA
AGCGCAUACGGUGGAUGCCUUGGCAGUCAGAGGCGAUGAAAGACGUGGUAGCCUGCGAAAAGCUUCGGGGAGUCGGCAAACAGACUGUGAUCCGGAGAUGUCUGAAUGGGGGAACCCAGCCAUCAUAAGAUGGUUAUCUUGUACUGAAUACAUAGGUGCAAGAGGCGAACCAGGGGAACUGAAACAUCUAAGUACCCUGAGGAAAAGAAAUCAACCGAGAUUCCCUUAGUAGUGGCGAGCGAACGGGGACCAGCCCUUAAGUUGUAUUGAGAUUAGCGGAACGUUCUGGAAAGGACGGCCAUAGUGGGUGAUAGCCCUGUACGCGAAAAUCCCUUUGCAAUGAAAUCGAGUAGGACGGGGCACGAGAAACCUUGUCUGAAUAUGGGGGGACCAUCCUCCAAGGCUAAAUACUACUGACUGACCGAUAGUGAACCAGUACCGUGAGGGAAAGGCGAAAAGAACCGCGGAGAGCGGAGUGAAAUAGAUCCUGAAACCGUAUGCGUACAAGCAGUGGGAGCCCACUUUGUUGGGUGACUGCGUACCUUUUGUAUAAUGGGUCAGCGACUUAUUUUCAGUGGCGAGCUUAACCGAAUAGGGGAGGCGUAGCGAAAGCGAGUCUUAAUAGGGCGUCUAGUCGCUGGGAAUAGACCCGAAACCGGGCGAUCUAUCCAUGGGCAGGUUGAAGGUUGGGUAACACUAACUGGAGGACCGAACCGACUACCGUUGAAAAGUUAGCGGAUGACCUGUGGAUCGGAGUGAAAGGCUAAUCAAGCUCGGAGAUAGCUGGUUCUCCUCGAAAGCUAUUUAGGUAGCGCCUCAUGUAUCACUGUAGGGGGUAGAGCACUGUUUCGGCUAGGGGGUCAUCCCGACUUACCAAACCGAUGCAAACUCCGAAUACCUACAAGUGCCGAGCAUGGGAGACACACGGCGGGUGCUAACGUCCGUCGUGAAAAGGGAAACAACCCAGACCGUCAGCUAAGGUCCCAAAGUCAUGGUUAAGUGGGAAACGAUGUGGGAAGGCUUAGACAGCUAGGAGGUUGGCUUAGAAGCAGCCACCCUUUAAAGAAAGCGUAAUAGCUCACUAGUCGAGUCGGCCUGCGCGGAAGAUGUAACGGGGCUCAAACCAUGCACCGAAGCUACGGGUAUCAUCUUAUGAUGAUGCGGUAGAGGAGCGUUCUGUAAGCCUGUGAAGGUGAGUUGAGAAGCUUGCUGGAGGUAUCAGAAGUGCGAAUGCUGACAUGAGUAACGACAAUGGGUGUGAAAAACACCCACGCCGAAAGACCAAGGUUUCCUGCGCAACGUUAAUCGACGCAGGGUUAGUCGGUCCCUAAGGCGAGGCUGAAAAGCGUAGUCGAUGGAAAACAGGUUAAUAUUCCUGUACUUCUGGUUAUUGCGAUGGAGGGACGGAGAAGGCUAGGCCAGCCUGGCGUUGGUUGUCCAGGUUUAAGGUGGUAGGCUGAGAUCUUAGGUAAAUCCGGGAUCUUAAGGCCGAGAGCUGAUGACGAGUGUUCUUUUAGAACACGAAGUGGUUGAUGCCAUGCUUCCAAGAAAAGCUUCUAAGCUUCAGGUAACCAGGAACCGUACCCCAAACCGACACAGGUGGUUGGGUAGAGAAUACCAAGGCGCUUGAGAGAACUCGGGUGAAGGAACUAGGCAAAAUGGCACCGUAACUUCGGGAGAAGGUGCGCCGGUGGAGGUGAAGCAUUUACUGCGUAAGCCCCUGCCGGUCGAAGAUACCAGGCCGCUGCGACUGUUUAUUAAAAACACAGCACUCUGCAAACACGAAAGUGGACGUAUAGGGUGUGACGCCUGCCCGGUGCCGGAAGGUUAAUUGAUGGGGUUAGCGCAAGCGAAGCUCUUGAUCGAAGCCCCGGUAAACGGCGGCCGUAACUAUAACGGUCCUAAGGUAGCGAAAUUCCUUGUCGGGUAAGUUCCGACCUGCACGAAUGGCGUAACGAUGGCGGCGCUGUCUCCACCCGAGACUCAGUGAAAUUGAAAUCGCUGUGAAGAUGCAGUGUAUCCGCGGCUAGACGGAAAGACCCCGUGAACCUUUACUAUAGCUUUGCACUGGACUUUGAAUUUGCUUGUGUAGGAUAGGUGGGAGGCUUUGAAGCGUGGACGCCAGUCUGCGUGGAGCCAACCUUGAAAUACCACCCUGGCAACUUUGAGGUUCUAACUCAGGUCCGUUAUCCGGAUCGAGGACAGUGUAUGGUGGGUAGUUUGACUGGGGCGGUCUCCUCCUAAAGAGUAACGGAGGAGUACGAAGGUGCGCUCAGACCGGUCGGAAAUCGGUCGUAGAGUAUAAAGGCAAAAGCGCGCUUGACUGCGAGACAGACACGUCGAGCAGGUACGAAAGUAGGUCUUAGUGAUCCGGUGGUUCUGUAUGGAAGGGCCAUCGCUCAACGGAUAAAAGGUACUCCGGGGAUAACAGGCUGAUACCGCCCAAGAGUUCAUAUCGACGGCGGUGUUUGGCACCUCGAUGUCGGCUCAUCACAUCCUGGGGCUGAAGCCGGUCCCAAGGGUAUGGCUGUUCGCCAUUUAAAGUGGUACGCGAGCUGGGUUUAGAACGUCGUGAGACAGUUCGGUCCCUAUCUGCCGUGGACGUUUGAGAUUUGAGAGGGGCUGCUCCUAGUACGAGAGGACCGGAGUGGACGAACCUCUGGUGUUCCGGUUGUCACGCCAGUGGCAUUGCCGGGUAGCUAUGUUCGGAAAAGAUAACCGCUGAAAGCAUCUAAGCGGGAAACUUGCCUCAAGAUGAGAUCUCACUGGAACCUUGA